Molecule: ribosomal RNA, 468 nt
Filed under: uncultured bacterium
Lineage: Bacteria
Description: partial 16S ribosomal RNA
Rfam family: Bacterial small subunit ribosomal RNA
Source: RNAcentral
GACGAACGCUGGCGGCGUGCUUAACACAUGCAAGUCGAACGGAAAGGCCCUGCUUUUGUGGGGUGCUCGAGUGGCGAACGGGUGAGUAACACGUGAGUAACCUGCCCUUGACUUUGGGAUAACUUCAGGAAACUGGGGCUAAUACCGGAUAGGAGCUCCUGCUGCAUGGUGGGGGUUGGAAAGUUUCGGCGGUUGGGGAUGGACUCGCGGCUUAUCAGCUUGUUGGUGGGGUAGUGGCUUACCAAGGCUUUGACGGGUAGCCGGCCUGAGAGGGUGACCGGCAACAUUGGGACUGAGAUACGGCCCAGCCUCCUCCGGGAGGCAGCAGUGGGGAAAAUUGCACAAUGGGCGGAAGCCUGAUGCAGCAACGCCGCGUGCGGGAUGACGGCCUUCGGGUUGUAAACCGCUUUCGCCUGUGACGAAGCGUGAGUGACGGUAAUGGGUAAAGAAGCACCGGCUAACUACGUG